GAAGAUACAGCUCAAUGGUAGAGUUCGUGCUUAGCAUGCACAAGGUCCUGGGUUCAAGCCCCAGUACCUCCA
Transfer RNA from Camelus ferus (Wild Bactrian camel), 72 nucleotides. It matches the Rfam family "tRNA". From Rfam's summary of the family: Transfer RNA (tRNA) molecules are approximately 80 nucleotides in length. Lineage: Eukaryota; Metazoa; Chordata; Mammalia; Artiodactyla; Camelidae. The record is from Rfam.